This 774-nucleotide ribosomal RNA is filed under the name uncultured Neocallimastigales. Its description in RNAcentral is "partial large subunit ribosomal RNA". It matches the Rfam family "Eukaryotic large subunit ribosomal RNA", at positions 24 to 649 of the family's 3401-position model. The record is from RNAcentral. Lineage: Eukaryota; Fungi; Neocallimastigomycota; Neocallimastigomycetes; Neocallimastigales.
UAUGUGAUCGUCUCUCGCAUAUCAAUAAGCGGAGGAAAAGAAACUAACAAGGAUUCCCCUAGUAACGGCGAGUGAAGCGGGAAGAGCUCAAAUUUGAAAUCUUAAAGGGUUUCCCUUUACGAAUUGUAGUUUAAAGAAGUGUUUUCUGUUGAGGUUUUGGUAAAAGUUCUUUGGAAUAGGACAUCAUAGAGGGUGAGAAUCCCGUAUUUGACCUUUACUUUCAACUUUGUGAUACACUUUCAAAGAGUCGGAUUGUUUGGGAAUGCAGUCCAAAAUGGGUGGUAAAUUUCAUCUAAAGCUAAAUAUUGGCGAGAGACCGAUAGCGAACAAGUACCGUGAGGGAAAGAUGAAAAGAACUUUGAAAAGAGAGUUAAACAGUACGUGAAAUUGUCAAAAGGGAAGCGUUUGACACCAGUGUUGUUUUCCUGAAAAUCAAUUAAAGAACUGUUUAUGCUAAGCUGUUUAGACUUUAUCAGCUAACUGUUUAGUUUUGAGCUUUUCUUUAAUGCACUUUUCAGUUAACAAGUCAACAUCAAUUUCUUUUGCUGUAAAAAAGCUUGAGGAAGGUGGCUUGAGAUUCGUCUUAAGUGUUUAUAGCCUCUUGCCUAUGCAGUCGGAGAGAUUGAGGUCUGCAGCGUAGAUCCUUCGGGGCUAAAUGCAUUUGUGCUAAGUUAUAACAUUUUAUAGACAACUUGUUGACUAUGAUUUGUCUUGUAGCUUACUCGCUUAUGUUAUUUUACCUACGCUUAGGAUGUUGAGUAGCGACAUACGCAC